UUAAAGGUAUUUUCCGGUAGACGAUGGGGAUGCGUUCCAUUAGAUAGUAGGCGGGGUAACGGCCCACCUAGUCAACGAUGGAUAGGGGUUCUGAGAGGAAGGUCCCCCACAUUGGAACUGAGACACGGUCCAAACUCCUACGGGAGGCAGCAGUGAGGAAUAUUGGUCAAUGGGCGAUGGCCUGAACCAGCCAAGUAGCGUGAAGGAUGACUGCCCUAUGGGUUGUAAACUUCUUUUAUAAAGGAAUAAAGUCGGGUAUGCAUACCCGUUUGCAUGUACUUUAUGAAUAAGGAUCGGCUAACUCCGUGCCAGCAGCCGCGGUAAUACGGAGGAUCCGAGCGUUAUCCGGAUUUAUUGGGUUUAAAGGGAGCGUAGAUGGAUGUUUAAGUCAGUUGUGAAAGUUUGCGGCUCAACCGUAAAAUUGCAGUUGAUACUGGAUGUCUUGAGUGCAGUUGAGGCAGGCGGAAUUCGUGGUGUAGCGGUGAAAUGCUUAGAUAUCACGAAGAACUCCGAUUGCGAAGGCAGCCUGCUAAGCUGCAACUGACAUUGAGGCUCGAAAGUGUGGGUAUCAAACAGGAUUAGAUACCCUGGUAGUCCACACGGUAAACGAUGAAUACUCGCUGUUUGCGAUAUACGGCAAGCGGC
Molecule: ribosomal RNA, 645 nt
Filed under: uncultured bacterium
Lineage: Bacteria
Description: bacterial SSU rRNA
Rfam family: Bacterial small subunit ribosomal RNA
Source: RNAcentral